GCCGCUGUAGCUCAGUUGGUAGAGCAGCUCAUUCGUAACGAGCAGGUCACAGGUUCGAUCCCUGCCAGCGGCUCCA
Molecule: transfer RNA, 76 nt
Filed under: Candidatus Saccharimonadota bacterium
Lineage: Bacteria; Candidatus Saccharimonadota
Also listed under: 2 other names
Description: tRNA-Thr
Rfam family: tRNA
About the family: Transfer RNA (tRNA) molecules are approximately 80 nucleotides in length.
Source: RNAcentral